This 253-nucleotide ribosomal RNA is filed under the name uncultured bacterium. Its description in RNAcentral is "partial 16S ribosomal RNA". It matches the Rfam family "Bacterial small subunit ribosomal RNA", at positions 524 to 776 of the family's 1533-position model. The record is from RNAcentral.
UACGUAGGUGUCAAGCGUUGUCCGGAUUUACUGGGCGUAAAGAGCGCGCAGGCGGUCGUUCAAGUCGCGUGUGAAAGCCCCCGGCUCAACUGGGGAGGGUCACGCGAUACUGAUCGACUCGAAGGCAGGAGAGGGUAGUGGAAUUCCCGGUGUAGUGGUGAAAUGCGUAGAUAUCGGGAGGAACACCAGUGGCGAAGGCGACUACUUGGCCUGUUCUUGACGCUGAGGCGCGAAAGCUAGGGGAGCAAACGGG